Molecule: long non-coding RNA, 400 nt
Filed under: Mus musculus (house mouse)
Lineage: Eukaryota; Metazoa; Chordata; Mammalia; Rodentia; Muridae
Description: long non-coding RNA chrX:49164907-49165307
Source: RNAcentral
UCUCAGCUGUUUAUGCUUGACUACAAGAGGAGGCCAGAGGCAAAGCAAGAGAAAAACAGAUGCUAUUGGCAUAGGCUGGGCAAAAAUAACUUCUGACAAAGGGGACCCCCAAACUAAGAGACUACCUGCCAUCCAAGCAGAGUCUAAACUGUCACUGUCUUAGUGGAGAGCAGGAAGGCUAGGCUGGUGGUGAUCACACAUGAUGUAGAUUCCUGUGACCUAGUGGUCUUCUUACCCUAUAUCAUCACAAAAUGAAGGUAACCUGCUGCACCAUCAAGGGGAAGGCCAGGCUGGGAUGGUUGGUCCAGAGGAAGGCAUGCACCACUGUUGCCUUCACAUAGGUUAAUUUGGAAGACAGAGGCAUUCCGGCUAAGUUGGUGGAAGCGAUUAGUAAUAAUUA